CGCGUAGGCGGUCCGCUAAGUUAGAUGUGAAAACUCUGGGCUCAACCCAGAGCCUGCAUCUAAUACUGACGGGCUAGAGUUCUGGAGGGGGUAGCGGAAUUCCUGGUGUAGCGGUGAAAUGCGUAGAUAUCAGGAGGAACACCGGUGGCGAAGGCGGCUACCUGGACAGAAACUGACGCUGAGGCGCGAAAGCUAGGGGAGCAAACA
Molecule: ribosomal RNA, 207 nt
Filed under: uncultured bacterium
Lineage: Bacteria
Description: partial 16S ribosomal RNA
Rfam family: Bacterial small subunit ribosomal RNA
Source: RNAcentral